GGAGAGAUGUCCGAGUUUGGCCGAAGGAGCACGAUUGGAAAUCGUGUAGGCGUCACAAGCGUCUCGAGGGUUCGAAUCCCUCCUCUCUCUCCGCCA
RNAcentral lists this transfer RNA (96 nucleotides) under Paenibacillus thiaminolyticus. Its description in RNAcentral is "tRNA-Ser". It matches the Rfam family "tRNA". Rfam says of the family: Transfer RNA (tRNA) molecules are approximately 80 nucleotides in length. Their secondary structure includes four short double-helical elements and three loops (D, anti-codon, and T loops). Lineage: Bacteria; Bacillati; Bacillota; Bacilli; Caryophanales; Paenibacillaceae. The record is from RNAcentral.